Molecule: ribosomal RNA, 480 nt
Filed under: uncultured organism
Description: partial 16S ribosomal RNA
Rfam family: Bacterial small subunit ribosomal RNA
Source: RNAcentral
ACGUACACUCCUACGGGAGGCAGCAGUGGGGAAUAUUGCACAAUGGGCGCAAGCCUGAUGCAGCCAUGCCGCGUGUAUGAAGAAGGCCUUCGGGUUGUAAAGUACUUUCAGCGGGGAGGAAGGCAAUACGGUUAAUAACCGUGUUGAUUGACGUUACCCGCAGAAGAAGCACCGGCUAACUCCGUGCCAGCAGCCGCGGUAAUACGGAGGGUGCAAGCGUUAAUCGGAAUUACUGGGCGUAAAGCGCACGCAGGCGGUCUGUCAAGUCGGAUGUGAAAUCCCCGGGCUCAACCUGGGAACUGCAUUCGAAACUGGCAGGCUUGAGUCUUGUAGAGGGGGGUAGAAUUCCAGGUGUAGCGGUGAAAUGCGUAGAGAUCUGGAGGAAUACCGGUGGCGAAGGCGGCCCCCUGGACAAAGACUGACGCUCAGGUGCGAAAGCGUGGGGAGCAAACAGGAUUAGAUACCCGGGUAUCCCAUGAU